This 414-nucleotide long non-coding RNA is filed under the name Equus caballus (horse). RNAcentral's name for it is "lncRNA (ENSECAG00000044989.1)". The record is from RNAcentral. Lineage: Eukaryota; Metazoa; Chordata; Mammalia; Perissodactyla; Equidae.
UGGAAAGGGGCCGGGACAGCCCACCCCCGGCGCGCGCCCAUAGGCCGGCUGUGAGCCCCGCCUCGUGCCGAUUGGUUGUAAAUGGCUACUGAGUUAUUUCAUUGGCGCCCCCACGCACCGGUUGGCGCAGGUUCCUGAGACCCGCCUCUCCUCGGAUUCAGAAUUCCCAGCUUAACAGGGAGCCGCAGACAGGAAGAAUGGAGGCUGCUGUUCUCAGUCUGAUUAGCUCUGAGCUGACAUCUGCUUGACAUCUGCUGCCAAUCCUCCUCUUUUUGCUGAUGAAGACUGGCCCUGAGCUAACAUCCAUGCCUAUCUUCCUCUACGUUAUAUGUGGGAUGCCUACCACAGCAUGGCUUGCCAAGUGGUGCCAUGUCCGCACCCGGGAUCCAAACUGGUGAACCCUGGGCCACUGAA